AACGAACGCUGGCGGCAUGCCUAACACAUGCAAGUCGAACGUGAUCCGGGGCUUCGGCUCCGGUGAAAGUGGCGGACGGGUGAGUAACGCGUGGGAACCUGCCCAGUGGUAGGGAUAACCGCGGGAAACUGCGGCUAAUACCCUAUGCGCCCUAUGGGGCAAAGAUUUAUCGCCAUUGGAGGGGCCCGCGUUGGAUUAGGUAGUUGGUGAGGUAACGGCUCACCAAGCCUUCGAUCCGUAGCUGGCUGAGAGGAUGAUCAGCCACACCUGGGACUGAGACACGGCCCACGACUCCUACGGGAGGCAGCAGUGGGGAAUC
Molecule: ribosomal RNA, 319 nt
Filed under: uncultured bacterium
Lineage: Bacteria
Description: bacterial SSU rRNA
Rfam family: Bacterial small subunit ribosomal RNA
Source: RNAcentral